Myodes glareolus (Bank vole) is the source of this 1337-nucleotide non-coding RNA. The record is from RefSeq and is a predicted model, not a curated record. NCBI's taxonomy places the organism in Eukaryota, Metazoa, Chordata, Mammalia, Rodentia, Cricetidae.
GGAGGGUCAUAAGGAAAACAAGGCGCCUGGUAUGGGGGUUAAUGAAUGCUGUUUGCCACCCAGGAAGUCUCCCUGAUCUUCACAAUCUACCAAUGUUUAGAAUUAAUAUUUCUUUCUUAGAACCUGUUGAAGGUCACACUGGGCUCUGGGUCUGCUUCAAGUGGAUUCAUUUUGAAGUUCAGCGUUUACUUGGAGAGGGGCUCAUCCAGUCCUGAGAGCAGGGGCCCGAGAAAACAGGAGAGCAUGAUGUGCUUCCCUGAGACCAGCCUGGGGAUUGACAAACUUCAGCCCUUGUUCCACUGGCUAAGGUAUCACAUACCGACCCCUGAGAAGCGGCCUUGUGCAGGAGGAAGAGAAAAGGCUGUGGAUACAGAAGGGUAAAACAUCAGGACCAAUAAGUCAAUCUAUCGUAUUAACUGACCAGCUGACCAACUACGGUUUUUAAACCCAAAGGCUCUCCUGAGGUGGCAACGCUGGUGGUGUGGAGGGAAGGUCACACCCAUCUGUCUCACUGUCACUGUGGUCGGGUGGCUUCCUUACGAUGGUGACCUUUAAGAAAGACUAAAAGAUUUGCAUUCAUGGAAGAAGUGGAUGGAGAAAGACCAUGGCUCCGUGGCGAACACCUGGAAGAGAGUAUCCUAAAGUGACAUGAAGGCAUGAAGAAGUGGGUCUGGAGAGUCAAGGGGAGGACAGGUCUGCCCUUCAACCUGCCCCCUGUGCUACUGCGUGCCAUUGGCCUUGAUAUGGAGGGACGUAAGGAUAGCUGUUUUGGUUAAAUUGCUUAGGAUAUACAGAUUGCUAAGACCUGCACCUCAUAUACAGUUAACACUCAGUUAAUUAUGAUUAGUUAUUAAUCGUUAUAGUAUUGGCAGAUGCAUAGGGUAUAAAUAGAAGAGGGAUGGGCUCUGCUUUGAGGGAUGGGCUCUGCUUUGUAUUUCAGAAAAUGUGCCCCAGGUGGCCACAUGGAAUCCACUGGGAGAUUAAGAGGAUAAUGACAUGGGCAGCAUUGAAGGAAGAGGGAAGACAUGAUCAGACACAAGGCGUACACGGGCGUACAUGCAGUUCUCGCCGACAGAUUGGGUGAGGGAUGUGAGGGGAAGCGAGACUUAGAGUAUGGCUUCGCUCCGCAGUCUGAGCAGAUAGGAGCCUUCCGGUGCAGCUCACUCGGCUAGUGGACACUUUGUGAAGGAAGUGGUGACAUGGCCAGAUUGGGCACCCAAAGAACUGACUGGUUUCGCAAAACUUUGGGUCUGGAACAGACACUCGGCACUAGACUCCGUGACCUGGCAAAUAACUGAUCAAACUGGGAAAAAGUCUCCAAUGCUCAGCCAGCGUGA